This 1029-nucleotide unclassified non-coding RNA is filed under the name synthetic construct. The record is from RNAcentral.
AUGGCCUCCGACGCCGCCGCCGAGCCCUCCUCCGGCGUCACCCACCCCCCGCGCUACGUCAUCGGUUACGCGCUCGCGCCGAAGAAGCAGCAGAGCUUCAUCCAGCCGUCGCUGGUGGCCCAGGCGGCGUCGCGGGGCAUGGACCUCGUCCCCGUGGAUGCGUCGCAGCCCCUGGCAGAGCAAGGGCCCUUCCACCUCCUCAUCCACAAGCUCUACGGAGACGACUGGCGCGCCCAGCUCGUGGCCUUCGCCGCGCGCCACCCGGCCGUCCCCAUCGUCGACCCGCCCCUCGCCAUCGACCGCCUCCACAACCGCAUCUCCAUGCUCCAGGUCGUCUCCGAGCUCGACCACGCCGCCGACCAGGACAGCACUUUCGGUAUCCCCAGCCAGGUCGUCGUCUACGACGCUGCCGCGCUUGCCGACUUCGGACUCCUUGCCGCGCUCCGCUUCCCGCUCAUCGCCAAGCCCCUCGUCGCCGACGGCACCGCCAAGUCCCACAAGAUGUCGCUCGUCUACCACCGCGAGGGCCUCGGCAAGCUCCGCCCGCCGCUUGUGCUCCAGGAAUUCGUCAACCAUGGCGGCGUCAUCUUCAAGGUCUACGUCGUCGGCGGCCACGUCACUUGCGUCAAGCGCCGUAGCCUGCCCGACGUGUCCCCCGAGGAUGACGCAUCGGCCCAGGGAUCCGUCUCCUUCUCCCAGGUCUCCAACCUCCCCACUGAGCGCACGGCGGAGGAGUACUACGGCGAAAAGAGUCUCGAGGACGCCGUCGUGCCGCCCGCCGCAUUCAUCAACCAGAUCGCGGGCGGCCUCCGCCGCGCGCUGGGCCUGCAACUCUUCAACUUCGACAUGAUCCGCGACGUCCGCGCCGGCGACCGCUAUCUCGUCAUUGACAUCAACUACUUCCCGGGCUACGCCAAGAUGCCAGGAUACGAGACUGUCCUCACGGAUUUCUUCUGGGAGAUGGUCCAUAAGGACGGCGUGGGCAACCAACAGGAGGAGAAAGGGGCCAACCAUGUUGUCGUGAAAUAA